AUACGGAGGAUCCGAGCGUUAUCCGGAUUUAUUGGGUUUAAAGGGAGCGUAGGUGGAUUGUUAAGUCAGUUGUGAAAGUUUGCGGCUCAACCGUAAAAUUGCAGUUGAAACUGGCAGUCUUGAGUACAGUAGAGGUGGGCGGAAUUCGUGGUGUAGCGGUGAAAUGCUUAGAUAUCACGAAGAACUCCGAUUGCGAAGGCAGCUCACUAGACUGUUACUGACACUGAUGCUCGAAAGUGUGGGUAUCAAACAGGAUUAGAUACCCUUGUAGUCCACACAGUAAACGAUGAAUACCCGCUGUUUGCAAUAUACAGUAAGCGGCCAAGCUAAAGCAUUAAGUAUUCCCCCUGGGGAGUACGCCGGCAACGGUGAAACUCACAGGAAUUGACGGGG
Molecule: ribosomal RNA, 393 nt
Filed under: uncultured bacterium
Lineage: Bacteria
Description: partial 16S ribosomal RNA
Rfam family: Bacterial small subunit ribosomal RNA
Source: RNAcentral